This is a long non-coding RNA of Cyanistes caeruleus (blue tit), 1058 nucleotides long. RefSeq lists it as uncharacterized. Lineage: Eukaryota; Metazoa; Chordata; Aves; Passeriformes; Paridae. The record is from RefSeq and is a predicted model, not a curated record.
CUGGAAUAUCUCCUUCAGCUGCAACACCAUCUGGCGUUUUGGGAGAGCACGGACACCGAAUCUGAAAGAGAAGGUUUCUACAUUAGCAGUGGCUGUGGAGAGCCAACCUUUCAACUCGCUCCAGCCAGCAGGAAUUAGCAGCACACACCAAGAACAUUUCUCCAGGCCUUCAUAGGUGGGAUACCUGUGAGGCUGCUCUGGGGCUGCCAGCAAACACAGCUCCCGAUGCGACGCUCCAGGCAGUGAGCCCAGAACAGAUUUCCUGCUGGUGCUAAAAUUAUCAAUCAAGAAUGGGGAAAUUAAACAAGGCCAGAAACCUCCUGGCUGCUCCAUUCUCUGUGCAAGGCAGAGAAACUGGCCAGAAGACAGCUCUGAGCAGGUUUGAGCUGUGUGUUGGAGAACAUUCUCUCCUGCUGAGGAGGCCACUGAGACUGGACCCCACUGAUGUGACCAAGGGUUUUCAUACAGGGGAUGUGUUACCAAUGCAAUAAGUGCUUUUGCUCUACAUGGUUACACUGUUUGUGCUCAUAUAAAGCACAAAUCUCUCCCACUGACAAUCCAGCUCUUCAACACUUCAUCUGCUCAGGAAAACUAUAAUGGAAUCAAACAGACUCUGAAAAAAUGACCAUACUGGUUUUGCUGGGAGCAACUGAGUUUCAACAACAGUGUGAGAACAGUUUGUGUAUUGCUAAAGGCUUCUGGUUUAAUAGAAAAACAAAACAAGACAUUUUCCUGCUAAGGAUAAUUUUUUUGAAUACUCCCAAAUAAUAUCCAGAGCUUCUGUACCAAGUAGCUGGGAUGCUCAAGUUUAACACCAAUUCUCAGCUCAAGGAAUUGUCUCCUUUUAGAAGUAUCUUAAUCCUUUAAGCAUAUGGAAGUAUGUUGUCAGAGCAUCAAAAUUUAUCCAGCACCAAAAUGCACUUCCUUUCAGGGCAUGAUUAUUCAUUAUCAAGCAAAAGAUAGUAAGUUUUAUCAGAUAAAAUGGAUGACCUAGGUAAGAAAAUUAAUUAGUUUUAUUUUGUAUGAACUUCAAUUGAAUAAAACUGAUUAUACAUUCA